AACGAACGCUGGCGGCAUGCCUAACACAUGCAAGUCGAACGAAGGCUUCGGCCUUAGUGGCGCACGGGUGCGUAACGCGUGGGAAUCUGCCCUUGGGUUCGGAAUAACUCAGAGAAAUUUGAGCUAAUACCGGAUGAUGACGUAAGUCCAAAGAUUUAUCGCCCAAGGAUGAGCCCGCGUAAGAUUAGCUAGUUGGUGGGGUAAAGGCCUACCAAGGCGACGAUCUUUAGCUGGUCUGAGAGGAUGAUCAGCCACACUGGGACUGAGACACGGCCCAGACUCCUACGGGAGGCAGCAGUGGGGAAUAUUGGACAAUGGGCGAAAGCCUGAUCCAGCAAUGCCGCGUGAGUGAUGAAGGCCUUAGGGUUGUAAAGCUCUUUUACCAGGGAUGAUAAUGACAGCACCUGGAGAAUAAGCUCCGGCUAACUCCGUG
This 433-nucleotide ribosomal RNA is filed under the name uncultured bacterium. RNAcentral's name for it is "bacterial SSU rRNA". It matches the Rfam family "Bacterial small subunit ribosomal RNA", at positions 29 to 507 of the family's 1533-position model. The record is from RNAcentral.